UUGAAAGGGAAACGAUUGAAGUCAGUCAUGCUGGCGGGAAUCAACUUAGGGGAAACUCUGAGUGCACUUCUUCGCUUGGCAGGUUAGCGUCGAUUUUGGAUGUCAUAAAAUGACUAGGGGAAGGUAGCUCUUUCGGGAGUGUUAAGCCCUCAGUAUAUGUGAUGUCUAGGAUCGAGGAUUGCAACGGAUACCUUUUGGGCUAGCCGUCUAGUCUCUAAUACGAAGUUGGGUUAUGGACAGCAUGCUGACUGUGAUCUGAUUUUCGGUUAAAAGAUUAGAGCAAGUGUAAAUUCGUUAAGGAUGUUGACGUA
Molecule: ribosomal RNA, 311 nt
Filed under: uncultured Glomeromycotina
Lineage: Eukaryota; Fungi; Glomeromycota
Description: LSU rRNA
Source: RNAcentral